ACGAACGCUGGCGGCGUGCUUAACACAUGCAAGUCGAGCGGUAAGGCCCUUUCGGGGUGGCACGAGCGGCGAACGGGUGAGUAACACGUGGGUGACCUGCCUUUAGCUCUGGGAGUAAGCCUGGGAAACGUGGGUCUAAUACCGGGAUACGACUCCGCGGUGCAUGCUGUGGGGUGGGAAANCCUUGUGCGGCUGAGAUGGGCCCGCGCUAUCAGCUUGUUGGUGGGGUGAUGG
This 234-nucleotide ribosomal RNA is filed under the name uncultured bacterium. RNAcentral's name for it is "partial 16S ribosomal RNA". It matches the Rfam family "Bacterial small subunit ribosomal RNA", at positions 29 to 263 of the family's 1533-position model. The record is from RNAcentral.